RNAcentral lists this long non-coding RNA (652 nucleotides) under Ananas comosus (pineapple). RNAcentral describes it as "long non-coding RNA (ACOM_LNC021722)". Lineage: Eukaryota; Viridiplantae; Streptophyta; Magnoliopsida; Poales; Bromeliaceae. The record is from RNAcentral.
AUAUAUAUAUAUAUAUAUAUAGAGAGAGAGAGAGAGAGAGAGAGAGAGAGAGAGAGAGAGUUUUGCUAGAAUACUAUCGGUAGUAAAUGGCUCGAUUUAUUACCGAUUUGUUUUCGAUGAUAGAGCUUCCAAAUUGAUGAUCGGCACCGUUAAACAUGAUCUAAACUAUUUAAACUAUCUGGAAAUCAAAUUUCACUCAUUUUCAAUAUUGUUCUUUUAUCCAUCAAGUGAACAGAAAAAUGAAUGACUGGAAAUGAAUAUUCUUUAAAAAGUGAUGACACAAUUUUUAUAUUUGAGAUCUAGAGUCUAGAUCUUAUUUUAAAUAGUUUUAAAAAAAUUUUAAUAAAAAUUUAGUUGAUUUAAACUUUUCUAUACCGUUAAACGAGCAAACGCACCAUAUCGGCUAUUAAAAUUAUAGAUUUUGUGACGCUUUGAUCGUUCAGUUAGUGAUGUUAAAAAAAUUAUGAAAUUUAAUUUCUAGAUAAUUUAAAUGGUCUAGAUUAUGUUCAAUGGUGCCAGUCGUCGAUUUGGAAGCUCUAUCAUCAAAAAUAAAUCGGUAGUAAACCGAACAAUUUACUACCGAUAGUAGCCCAGUCAAUCUCUCUCUCUCUCUCUCUCUCUCUCUCUCUCUCUCUCUAUAUAUAUAUAUAUA